AAAUUGAAGAGUUUGAUCAUGGCUCAGAUUGAACGCUGGCGGCAGGCCUAACACAUGCAAGUCGAACGGUAACAGGAAGCAGCUUGCUGCUUCGCUGACGAGUGGCGGACGGGUGAGUAAUGUCUGGGAAACUGCCUGAUGGAGGGGGAUAACUACUGGAAACGGUGGCUAAUACCGCAUAACGUCGCAAGACCAAAGAGGGGGACCUUCGGGCCUCUUGCCAUCAGAUGUGCCCAGAUGGGAUUAGCUUGUUGGUGAGGUAACGGCUCACCAAGGCGACGAUCCCUAGCUGGUCUGAGAGGAUGACCAGCCACACUGGAACUGAGACACGGUCCAGACUCCUACGGGAGGCAGCAGUGGGGAAUAUUGCACAAUGGGCGCAAGCCUGAUGCAGCCAUGCCGCGUGUAUGAAGAAGGCCUUCGGGUUGUAAAGUACUUUCAGCGGGGAGGAAGGUGUUGCGGUUAAUAACCGCAGCAAUUGACGUUACCCGCAGAAGAAGCACCGGCUAACUCCGUGCCAGCAGCCGCGGUAAUACGGAGGGUGCAAGCGUUAAUCGGAAUUACUGGGCGUAAAGCGCACGCAGGCGGUCUGUCAAGUCGGAUGUGAAAUCCCCGGGCU
This 619-nucleotide ribosomal RNA is filed under the name Salmonella enterica subsp. enterica serovar Infantis. RNAcentral's name for it is "bacterial SSU rRNA". It matches the Rfam family "Bacterial small subunit ribosomal RNA", at positions 1 to 609 of the family's 1533-position model. The record is from RNAcentral. RNAcentral also lists the same sequence under 1 other name. Lineage: Bacteria; Pseudomonadati; Pseudomonadota; Gammaproteobacteria; Enterobacterales; Enterobacteriaceae.